GAUGAACGCUGGCGGCGUGCUUAACACAUGCCAGUCGAACGGAAAGGCUCCUGCUUGCAGGGGUACUCGAGUGGCGAACGGGUGAGUAACACGUGGGUGAUCUGCCCUGCACUUCGGGAUAAGCCUGGGAAACUGGGUCUAAUACCGGAUAGGACCACAUUUUGGAUGGUGUGGUGGAAAGUUUUUCGGUGUGGGAUGAGCUCGCGGCCUAUCAGCUUGUUGGUGGGGUAAUGGCCUACCAAGGCGUCGACGGGUAGCCGGCCUGAGAGGGUGUACGGCCACAUUGGGACUGAGAUACGGCCCAGACUCCUGCGGGAGGCAGCAGUGGGGAAUAUUGCACAAUGGGCGCAAGCCUGAUGCAGCGACGCCGCGUGGGGGAUGACGGCCUUCGGGUUGUAAACUCCUUUCGCUAGGGACGAAGCGCAAGUGACGGUACCUGGAGAAGAAGCACCGGCUAACUACGUG
Molecule: ribosomal RNA, 465 nt
Filed under: uncultured bacterium
Lineage: Bacteria
Description: partial 16S ribosomal RNA
Rfam family: Bacterial small subunit ribosomal RNA
Source: RNAcentral